Molecule: long non-coding RNA, 415 nt
Filed under: Myripristis murdjan (pinecone soldierfish)
Lineage: Eukaryota; Metazoa; Chordata; Actinopteri; Holocentriformes; Holocentridae
Description: lncRNA (ENSMMDG00005006850.1)
Source: RNAcentral
UACCAUCGCCAUUCUUCUUGUGUUUAACAUCAAUGCCAUUGCCCUCAGCUCACGUCACAGUGUAAUUUUUUGUGUGUUUCAUCAUCUGUGUAGCUGUCAUCGUCCCAGUCAUCUUCCCAGCUGCCCCCCCCGCUGACUCAGUGGUAAAAUCCACACACCAAUGCACCAUCUUCGAGCCAACCCUGGGGAAAAACUGACCAUCCACAGCCUUGACCCCCGAGCCCUCCUCAGCCCUCCGCUUAACAAUUUACAGGAUGUACGCACCGUUUUACUGUGGCUUUUGAAUUAGUUUUUGUUUGUUUGUUUAUUCAUAUUCAUUUUUAAAAAAUAUAUCAAUGUAAAUAUAUAACAUAUGUAUACAUUUACAUUUAUGCUAUUGGCACAUUUAUGCUAUCAGUAAAUGCCUUCCUUUUCU